ACGGGUGAGUAACGCGUGGGAACGUGCCCUUCGGUUCGGAAUAACUCAGGGAAACUUGAGCUAAUACCGGAUACGCCCUUUUGGGGAAAGGCUUGACUGCCGAAGGAUCGGCCCGCGUCUGAUUAGCUAGUUGGUGAGGUUAUGGCUCACCAAGGCGACGAUCAGUAGCUGGUCUGAGAGGAUGAUCAGCCACACUGGGACUGAGACACGGCCCAGACUCCUACGGGAGGCAGCAGUGGGGAAUAUUGGACAAUGGGGGCAACCCUGAUCCAGCCAUGCCGCGUGAGUGAUGACGGCCUUAGGGUUGUAAAGCUCUUUUCUCCGGGACGAUAAUGACGGUACCGGAGGAAUAAGCCCCGGCUAACUUCGUGCCAGCAGCCGCGGUAAUACGAAGGGGGCUAGCGUUGCUCGGAAUCACUGGGCGUAAAGGGCGCGUAGGCGGCUGAUUUAGUCGAGGGUGAAAGCCCGUGGCUCAACCACGGAAUGGCCUUCGAUACUGGUUGGCUUGAGACCGGAAGAGGACAGCGGAACUGCGAGUGUAGAGGUGAAAUUCGUAGA
This 558-nucleotide ribosomal RNA is filed under the name uncultured bacterium. RNAcentral's name for it is "bacterial SSU rRNA". It matches the Rfam family "Bacterial small subunit ribosomal RNA", at positions 102 to 694 of the family's 1533-position model. The record is from RNAcentral.